CCUACGGGAGGCAGCAGUGAGGAAUAUUGGUCAAUGGGCGCGAGCCUGAACCAGCCAAGUCGCGUGAGGGAUGACUGCCCUACGGGUUGUAAACUUCUUUUAUAAGGGAGUAAAGUGAGGCACGUGUGCCUUUUUGUAUGUACUUUAUGAAUAAGGAUAGGCUAACUCCGUGCCAGCAGCCGCGGUAAUACGGAGGAUGCGAGCGUUAUCCGGAUUUAUUGGGUUUAAAGGGAGCGUAGAUGGGUUGUUAAGUCAGUUGUGAAAGUUUGCGGCUCAACCGUAAAAUUGCAAUUGAUACUGGCAGUCUUGAGUACAGUUGAGGUAGGCGGAAUGUAUGGUGUAGCGGUGAAAUGCUUAGAGAUCAGACAGAACACCGAUUGCGAAGGCAGCUUACCGGGCUACUUCUGACGUUGAGGCACGAAAGCGUGGGGAGCAAACAGGAUUAGAUACCCUUGUAGUC
Molecule: ribosomal RNA, 460 nt
Filed under: uncultured bacterium
Lineage: Bacteria
Description: partial 16S ribosomal RNA
Rfam family: Bacterial small subunit ribosomal RNA
Source: RNAcentral